GACGAACGCUGGCGGCGUGCCUAAUACAUGCAAGUAGAACGCUGAAGAGAGGAGCUUGCUCUUCUUGGAUGAGUUGCGAACGGGUGAGUAACGCGUAGGUAACCUGCCUUGUAGCGGGGGAUAACUAUUGGAAACGAUAGCUAAUACCGCAUAACAAUGGAUGACACAUGUCAUUUAUUUGAAAGGGGCAAUUGCUCCACUACAAGAUGGACCUGCGUUGUAUUAGCUAGUAGGUGAGGUAAUGGCUCACCUAGGCGACGAUACAUAGCCGACCUGAGAGGGGGAUCGGCCACACUGGGACUGAGACACGGCCCAGACUCCUACGGGAGGCAGCAGUAGGGAAUCCUCGGCAAUGGGGGCAACCCUGACCGAGCAACGCCGCGUGAGUGAAGAAGGGUUUCGGAUCGUAAAGCUCUGUUGUAAGUCAAGAACGGGUGUGAGAGUGGAAAGUUCACACCGUGACGGUAGCUUACCAGAAAGGGACGGCUAACUACGUG
Molecule: ribosomal RNA, 497 nt
Filed under: uncultured bacterium
Lineage: Bacteria
Description: partial 16S ribosomal RNA
Rfam family: Bacterial small subunit ribosomal RNA
Source: RNAcentral